Molecule: ribosomal RNA, 482 nt
Filed under: Streptococcus parasanguinis
Lineage: Bacteria; Bacillati; Bacillota; Bacilli; Lactobacillales; Streptococcaceae
Description: bacterial SSU rRNA
Rfam family: Bacterial small subunit ribosomal RNA
Source: RNAcentral
GAUGAACGCGGGCGGCGUGCUUAAUACAUGCAAGUAGAACGCUGAAGCUUGGUGCUUGCACCGAGCGGUGAGUUGCGAACGGGUGAGUAACGCGUAGGUAACCUGCCUCUUAGCGGGGGAUAACUAUGGGAAACGAUAGCUAAUACCGCAUAAAAGUCGGUAUCGCAUGAUAUUGAUUUGAAAGGUGCAAUUGCAUCACUAAGAGAUGGACCUGCGUUGUAUAGCUAGUUGGUGAGGUAACGGCUCACCAAGGCGACGAUACAUAGCCGACCUGAGAGGGUGAUCGGCCACACUGGGACUGAGACACGGCCCAGACUCCUACGGGAGGCAGCAGUAGGGAAUCUUCGGCAAUGGGGGCAACCCUGACCGAGCAACGCCGCGUGAGUGAAGAAGGUUUUCGGAUCGUAAAGCUCUGUUGUAAGAGAAGAACGAGUGUGAGAGUGGAAAGUUCACACUGUGACGGAACUACCAGAAAGGCGCAU